CUCGACUCCAUUUUCAACACCUGCAUAUGUUAGCACACUGCAAUGUUUAACUACUGUAUAUAUUUUCAUUAGGAAAGGUGCCACUGCAAUGUUUAACUACUGUAUAUGUUUUCAUUAGGGGAAAUGUGACAUAAUCUGACAAGACUGAACAAGAAAAAGGUUUGGUGCUAGAAUAUGAAACCAUGUUUGUUUAAGUAGCUAGCUAUAUAGACUAACCGCUCCUUAUGAGUUAUGAUCAGUUAUCUAAUUGGACUGAUCAUGUACAUCUUAUCUCAUUUUACAUAUUCCCAGAAUUGCAAGUGUUCAGCUCAUUCUGAAUGUGAAGUUUCUUCAAGUAUUAAUAUGAUAAUAAUCGUGUUCACAGUUUAAUAUUCAUAAAUAUUUAAUGAAUAUUUUAAUAGUUUUAGCAAAGAUUAUUGGUUUUUCAUGAACCCACAAGCAAUUAAUUGUUGGAUCCAUCCGAGAUAAGUCCCAAAUCUUUGAACAAAAAAAUAUAUGUGUUCAAAUUUUGAGAAUGAAAUCAACUUUGUUAGAUGAUACUUUAUUUUCUAAAAUAUUUUUCGGUGCAAAUUAAUUAACAAGCCCCGAAACAGAUACCAAUUGACACUAAGUAGAAACAAAACAAAAAGUAUUCAUUUUAUUGUUCAACUUAUGCAAAACAUUAAUGUUCCAGAAGAGGAUUGUUGAGUGUCACAAAGUGUGGAUUUUGACUCAUAAAAGUGUGACCCAUUCAGCUGUUUAAGUUGACUUAGGUUUCUAUAUUAGGAUAUGAUAUGAUCCAAUACUCAAACUAUCCUGAUCAUAGAAUAUUAAGAAAAAGAUGCCAUAAACAUCGUGAUGUGGUCAUCAUGCAAGCUAACUCACCAUAGCAUGAUCAUAAGGAAAAAAAUGUUAAGAUCAUGGCGAAAACAUAUGCAGUAGAGGUCAGAAGGUAGUUUCUUACGAUGAUGCGGUCAUCAUGCAAGCUACUCCAAGCAACUGUAGUCGUUGCGCUUGUCCAUCAAUCAAAUGCAGAGUGUCUGGGCCUGUACUCCUUGGCAACCUAUACAUCAAACAAGCUCCACAUCAAACUGACGAAUUACUGAGCUCAUCGAUAUUUGUUCAUAAGUUUCAGUAUGGUGAAAAUUCUAUCUGCAAAAAGGCGUGGUUUUGUAUUGAGAAGAGUCAUAUGCAUUAAACCUAUGGACUCUGCAUCCCAGAGGAUGGCAACUUAAGUUCACUCGAAAUAUGCAUAAAUAUAGAUCACCACGCAUAGGAGUGAAUCAAUUUUACUGAAGUACCUCCGGCGAUCCGUCUUCAUUAUAAAUAGAGCUAUCUGGUUGCUUUGAAGACUCAUCCUCAGUACAAAUGACUGGAAAUUCAGCUACUGGCAUCAGUAAAACUCUAUUUGCUUCAGCAUUAUACGACGAUAUUUUCCCAACCUACAAGCAGAAGGGAACAUCAACUUCACAAUCAGAAGUACAUAAUAUGAUGGAGACAACUUAUACCCGAUAGGAGGAAACUUCAGGGUCCAGGUUGAUGAUAACUCAAGCAGCCGGUAUGCAAUCACAAGACCUUCCUGCCAAAUUAAAAAACUGUUUUUCUAAAUACUAAAAUUGUGGUCACCCAAAUCAAUACAUCAACCACCAUCCAAUGUCCGGAGUUUUGGGUAGUGUAGAUUGUCAGCUGCUUUGUUUGAGUCUCAUUAGUCUAAAGUUAACAGCAGAUAUCAGUGCAACAGAUACUGAAGGCUACAGAUGCAUUAAAAAACAAGAACAAACCUUGGGCAGGCCAGAAGUUCUAAGUAUGGAAGAAAUCAUGUUGGGAGUGUCAAUUCCGAAAGGACCCUACAAUGCGCGAUCUAAAUUUAUUUGAGACACCAAUGCAGACUCCGAACAUCGGCUGGAAUUUUUUUUUUAGGUUGUUGAUAAAUAAGAAAUCCUACAUUUCAUCUCACUUCCUUAGUUUUCCUGAAUUUUGAUGAAACCAAGUUUAAGAACCCUACCAAAAGAAGUGUUUGAAGAGUUAAAACCUAAGCCUAAAACAAUACUUUUAUAACUAAGUUCCAACUAAAAGCCCCAAAGACAAGCUUUUGGUGAAAGAGCAGAAAAAAGGUCACUUUUUGGAGUGUUUAGAAGAAGACUUUUUCCUUGGGAUGCAUUUUCCUUUUACAGCCUUCAAUUCCUCCUCUUCUUCUUCUUCUGUUGCUACUUCUCUUAGCCCUGCCUUUGAGCUCCUACAUAUUGAAGUACUUUAAAUACACAUUCAAAUAUUAAAGCCUGAUGACAAGUCUGUCUAUUCUUACUUUUCUUCAACUUAGACAGACCUUUUUCACCUAAAAUAAGAAAGUUGAGACAAACUUUUACCAAUGUAAUAACAAGUUUUUAAAACUAUUCUACUAAAAUGAAUGACCUUACAUUGACAAAAUAGUAAUCCAUCAACUCCACUUUAUGUGGACAAUUACUAUUUGCAUAGUCAUAGGACUUUUUAUCUUUUCCUUGCCAUUUUUCUUAAUAUAGUUUAACUAUUUUGAAUUAUUAAUUAGUGUGACUGAUAUGUUAUUUAUGUCAUUUCUAAAUAUAUGAUGAUAACCGAGUAUACUAACCAUGGAGACUAAUGAUCCAUCUGCAAGUGGCAGGAAGAGGGAUAGCGGUGAUCUUAGUUACAACUUCAGAUACAAGAAACAAUCUUUUUCAAUUUACUCACAUUGCAAAGCAGCUUAUUAAAUAAAAGGUUUAUAAAACUGUGACAACUCGAAACUAUCAAAAGUUGCUUAACUUCUUCUACUCAUUUGUUUAAAGAUAAAUUUUUUCCCUAACAAAUUAAGAACAGUACUAAAAUCAUUUAAGAAGACAAAAAGCAUGAAUUCAUGUUAACACUGAAAAUAAUAACCUAGAAUGCCACUGGUCCACAUCAUAAUUGUCCGAUGAUACUAUGUCCGGAGAAUUUUGAUGUGUGGAUGCUGAAAAAGCCUAUGGUCUCUCAAAAGAUUAAAAAGAUUGCUGAAUUUCGAAGUGAUCUUUUCCCUGUCUCUCCAUCCAUAAGCUUCCAACGCUAGGGGUUCCUUUCUCUUGGUCGGCCUCCCUUGGAGUGGAAGGCUGCCGAGCGUUAUGGGACGUGGGAAAAAUCUUCUUCUGUUUCUGAUUACUCUGAAAAAACGAAGCUUUGGUUGACGCAAUCCUAUGUGACCCACCUCUUUAGUACUACAUGAUGAACUUAAUUUCUUUUCUGCAGCAAAGCUUCUUAGAAGAGUUGGAGAAGCCUGUUGCACUGUUGGCCUUUGAAGAUGUAUCCAACUGCCCUAUUGGAGAGCUUCUGGAUGUAUCACAGCGGCAAAAGACCGCUAGUAGCUUCAUGGUAUGAAAUGUUAUUUUUUUAUGAUUAAUCUUUGAUUAAAAGCUUCCAAAGCCUUUUGUAGAUGUUAAUAUGGGCACAAAAUCAGCUUGGUGAAAAAGCCAUGUAUCCGGGCAUAAAAGAUUUAUCGACUGCUAAACUGGAAGAUCCUCCUGUUAUAAGGAUAACCAAAACUUGACCAACUGCUUGAAGAUGAUGUAUCGUUCUUCUUUUUGACCUAUAGUUACUUUCAUUUUUAAUUAAAUUAUGGAUUCUUAGAUUAAUGUUGUGUUUGUUUAUCGAUCACAAUGUACAGUGAACUUGUUUAUCAAAAUAAACAAAGAAUUCAACUUCCAAAUAUCACAAUCUCGACCAAAAAACAAAAAUGAAAUCCCUCAAAUCCUUGCAUAACAAAAACCCUCAAAUCACUUCACUUGAUUUUAUACAAAUUGAUUUGUACCCAGUAUCUUAAACAUUAACCAUUUUACCUAUUUUAUCCAAGAAAAAAAUAUCCCACAAAACGCACCUACAUUUUCCUCGCAUACACAAAUUUAUGCAAGAAACCCCAUAACCAACAUACAAACAAGUGAAUCAUCAAACCAAUAAUCAAAAAAAUACACAAAAACAAGAUAAAACCCAGUACUCAAAUUAUUUUCCUACAGUAAAAAAAAACAGAGAUAAAAAACAGAGAAAGACUCACAAGUUUGGAGGAAUUAGAAAUCGAGUUGCGAGCAGAGAUAGCUGUAUGAUUCGAGAUCUGUCAGAUUAUGGAAGCUCCAACAUUCAAUUCUCUGAUCUGAUUAUUCUCCAACCCCGAUGAAUUGCUUGUCUCUUUACCACCGCACUCGAAACAGAGGAAUACCUAUUCUGGGUCGUCAUCAUAUCCUCCUUGUAAUGUAAAACGAUCGAAAAAUUAAACCCUUAUCAACUCUUCUUCAAGAAAACGAAGAAGAAGCCGUUACUCUGUAAUUCAAAGAGGGCGAUUUGAAUUUGAUUUGAUGUAGGUGUUCGUUAGGAGCGGAUAAGGGUUGGGCCCACUAAAUAAAAUCACCAAUAAGAUGAAGACACGUAGGUAAUGUGUAUUGUGGGUUUAGUAAUUUUCUUGUAAAGGAA
RNAcentral lists this long non-coding RNA (4425 nucleotides) under Solanum tuberosum (potato). Its description in RNAcentral is "long non-coding RNA (STUB_LNC002028)". Lineage: Eukaryota; Viridiplantae; Streptophyta; Magnoliopsida; Solanales; Solanaceae. The record is from RNAcentral.